Molecule: ribosomal RNA, 460 nt
Filed under: uncultured bacterium
Lineage: Bacteria
Description: partial 16S ribosomal RNA
Rfam family: Bacterial small subunit ribosomal RNA
Source: RNAcentral
CCUACGGGAGGCAGCAGUGAGGAAUAUUGGUCAAUGGACGAGAGUCUGAACCAGCCAAGUAGCGUGAAGGAUGAUUGCCCUAUGGGUUGUAAACUUCUUUUAUAAAGGAAUAAAACGAGGCACGUGUGCCUGUUUGCAUGUACUUUAUGAAUAAGGAUCGGCUAACUCCGUGCCAGCAGCCGCGGUAAUACGGAGGAUCCGAGCGUUAUCCGGAUUUAUUGGGUUUAAAGGGAGCGUAGAUGGGUUGUUAAGUCAGUUGUGAAAGUUUGCGGCUCAACCGUAAAAUUGCAAUUGAUACUGGCAGUCUUGAGUACAGUUGAGGUAGGCGGAAUUCGUGGUGUAGCGGUGAAAUGCUUAGAUAUCACGAAGAACCCCGAUUGCGAAGGCAGCUUACUAACCUGUGACUGACAUUGAUGCUCGAAAGUGUGGGUAUCAAACAGGAUUAGAUACCCGUGUAGUC